This 420-nucleotide unclassified non-coding RNA is filed under the name soil metagenome. Its description in RNAcentral is "partial contains 5.8S ribosomal RNA, internal transcribed spacer 2, and large subunit ribosomal RNA". The stretch from base 1 to 120 matches the Rfam family "5.8S ribosomal RNA", at positions 35 to 154 of the family's 154-position model. The record is from RNAcentral.
GAUGAAGAACGUAGCGAAAUGCGAUACGUAAUGUGAAUUGCAGAAUUCAGUGAAUCAUCGAAUCUUUGAACGCAUAUUGCGCUCUUUGGUAUUCCGAAGAGCAUGCUUGUUUGAGUAUCAGUAAACACCUCAACCUCUUCUUGAUUUUUCAAAAGGAGGGUGGACUUGAGCUAUCCCAACAACCUUUACCGGUCGGCGGGCGGCUUGAAAUGCAGGUGCAGCUGGACUUUUAUCUGAGCUAAAAGCAUAUCUAUUUAGUCCUCGUCAAACAGGAUUAUUACUUUUGCUGCAGCUAACAUAAAGGAUAAUUGUCCUCUUUGCUGACUGAUGCAGGAUUUUACGACACUUUAUGUGUUGUUCAACUCGAUCUCAAAUCAAGUAAGACUACCCGCUGAACUUAAGCAUAUCAAUAACGGAGGA